AUUACGCGGAGGCCCCACCUGUUCCCAUUCCGAACACAGCAGUUAAGCUCCGUAGUGCCGAAGAUACUUGGUUGGAGACGACCCGGGAAAAUAGGUAGGCGCCGG
RNAcentral lists this ribosomal RNA (105 nucleotides) under chicken gut metagenome. The record is from RNAcentral.